Molecule: long non-coding RNA, 120 nt
Organism: Zingiber officinale
Lineage: Eukaryota; Viridiplantae; Streptophyta; Magnoliopsida; Zingiberales; Zingiberaceae
Exons: 2
Source: RefSeq, a predicted model, not a curated record
UUUUGAGAAGUCAUUCCUUUAUCUUGCCAGAAAACUUGCAGGGGACCCUAACCUUCACUUUGUCGAAUCACCUGCACUGGCACCUCCUGAAGUUCAGAUUGACUUGGCUGCACAGCAACA